GAUGGCAGGUGAAGGGAGAGACUAGGGUCUGAUGGGAUGGUAGGUGUAGGGAGAGACUAGGGUCUGAUGGGAUGGCAGGUGUAGGGAGAGACUAGGGUCUGAU
Oncorhynchus tshawytscha (Chinook salmon) is the source of this 103-nucleotide long non-coding RNA. RefSeq lists it as uncharacterized. Lineage: Eukaryota; Metazoa; Chordata; Actinopteri; Salmoniformes; Salmonidae. The record is from RefSeq and is a predicted model, not a curated record. The transcript has 3 exons.